UACGGUGGGGGCAAGCGUUGUUCGGAAUUACUGGGCGUAAAGGGCUCGUAGGUGGCCAACUAAGUCAGACGCGAAAUCCCUCGGCUUAACCGGGGAACUGCGUCUGAUACUGGAUGGCUUGAGUUUGGGAGAGGGAUGCGGAAUUCCAGGUGUAGCGGUGAAAUGCGUAGAUAUCUGGAGGAACACCGGUGGCGAAGGCGGCAUCCUGGACCAAUACUGACACUGAGGAGCGAAAGCCAGGGGAGCAAACGGG
This 253-nucleotide ribosomal RNA is filed under the name uncultured bacterium. RNAcentral's name for it is "partial 16S ribosomal RNA". It matches the Rfam family "Bacterial small subunit ribosomal RNA", at positions 524 to 776 of the family's 1533-position model. The record is from RNAcentral.